UACGUAGGGGGCAAGCGUUGUCCGGAUUUAUUGGGCGUAAAGAGCUCGUAGGCGGCUCGGUAAGUCAGGUGUGAAAACUCUAGGCUCAACCUAGAGACGCCACCUGAUACUGCUGUGGCUAGAGUCCGGUAGGGGAGCAUGGAAUUCCUGGUGUAGCGGUGAAAUGCGCAGAUAUCAGGAGGAACACCAGUGGCGAAGGCGGUGCUCUGGGCCGGAACUGACGCUGAGGAGCGAAAGCGUGGGGAGCAAACAGG
Molecule: ribosomal RNA, 254 nt
Filed under: uncultured bacterium
Lineage: Bacteria
Description: partial 16S ribosomal RNA
Rfam family: Bacterial small subunit ribosomal RNA
Source: RNAcentral